AGCAAUACGAGCGGCAGACGGGUGAGUAACGCGUGGGAAUCUACCCAUCUCUACGGAAUAACCCAGGGAAACUUGGAUUAAUACCGUAUACGUCCUUUUGGAGAAAGAUUUAUCGGAGAUGGAUGAGCCCGCGUUGGAUUAGCUAGUUGGUGGGGUAAUGGCCUACCAAGGCGACGAUCCAUAGCUGGUCUGAGAGGAUGAUCAGCCACACUGGGACUGAGACACGGCCCAGACUCCUACGGGAGGCAGCAGUGGGGAAUUGUUCGCAAUGGGCGCAAGCCUGACGACGCAACGCCGCGUGGAGGAUGAAGACUUUCGGG
Molecule: ribosomal RNA, 320 nt
Filed under: uncultured bacterium
Lineage: Bacteria
Description: bacterial SSU rRNA
Rfam family: Bacterial small subunit ribosomal RNA
Source: RNAcentral